RNAcentral lists this ribosomal RNA (2793 nucleotides) under human gut metagenome. Its description in RNAcentral is "bacterial LSU rRNA". It matches the Rfam family "Bacterial large subunit ribosomal RNA". The record is from RNAcentral.
AGCGUACACGGUGGAUGCCUAGGCAGUCAGAGGCGAUGAAGGGCGUGUUAAUCUGCGAUAAGCGUCGGUAAGGUGAUAUAAACCGUUACAACCGGCGAUACCCGAAUGGGGAAACCCAGUGCAAUUCGUUGCACUAUCAUACGAUGAAUACAUAGUCGUAUGAGGCGAACCGGGGGAACUGAAACAUCUAAGUACCCCGAGGAAAAGAAAUCAACCGAGAUUCCCCCAGUAGCGGCGAGCGAACGGGGAGGAGCCCAGAACCUGAAUCAGUUCUUGUGUUAGUGGAAGCGUCUGGAAAGUCGCACAGCAAAGGGUGAUAGUCCCGUACACUAAAAUGCAUUAAUUGUGAGUUCGAUGAGUAGGGCGGGACACGUGACAUCCUGUCUGAAUAUGGGGGGACCAUCCUCCAAGGCUAAAUACUCCUGACUGACCGAUAGUGAACCAGUACCGUGAGGGAAAGGCGAAAAGAACCCCGGCGAGGGGAGUGAAAUAGAACCUGAAACCGUGUACGUACAAGCAGUGGGAGCCUACUUUGUUGGGUGACUGCGUACCUUUUGUAUAAUGGGUCAGCGACUUAUAUUUUGUAGCAAGGUUAACCGUAUAGGGGAGCCGUAGGGAAACCGAGUCUUAACUGGGCGAAUAGUUGCAAGGUAUAGACCCGAAACCCGGUGAUCUAGCCAUGGGCAGGUUGAAGGUUGGGUAACACUAACUGGAGGACCGAACCGACUAAUGUUGAAAAAUUAGCGGAUGACUUGUGGCUGGGGGUGAAAGGCCAAUCAAACCGGGAGAUAGCUGGUUCUCCCCGAAAGCUAUUUAGGUAGCGCCUCGUGAACUCAUCUUCGGGGGUAGAGCACUGUUUCGGCUAGGGGGCCAUCCCGGCUUACCAAACCGAUGCAAACUCCGAAUACCGAAGAAUGUUAUCACGGGAGACACACGGCGGGUGCUAACGUCCGUCGUGAAGAGGGAAACAACCCAGACCGCCAGCUAAGGUCCCAAAGUCAUGGUUAAGUGGGAAACGAUGUGGGAAGGCAUAGACAGCCAGGAUGUUGGCUUAGAAGCAGCCAUCAUUUAAAGAAAGCGUAAUAGCUCACUGGUCGAGUCGGCCUGCGCGGAAGAUGUAACGGGGCUAAACCAUGCACCGAAGCUGCGGCAGCGACGCUUAGGCGUUGUUGGGUAGGGGAGCGUUCUGUAAGCCGUUGAAGGUGGCCUGUGAGGGUUGCUGGAGGUAUCAGAAGUGCGAAUGCUGACAUAAGUAACGAUAAAGCGGGUGAAAAACCCGCUCGCCGGAAGACCAAGGGUUCCUGUCCAACGUUAAUCGGGGCAGGGUGAGUCGACCCCUAAGGCGAGGCCGAAAGGCGUAGUCGAUGGGAAACAGGUUAAUAUUCCUGUACUCGGUGUUACUGCGAAGGGGGGACGGAGAAGGCUAGGCUAGCCGGGCGACGGUUGUCCCGGUUUAAGCGUGUAGGGGGAGUGACUUGGUAAAUCCGGUUACUUAUUCAACCCUGAGGCGUGAUGACGAUGCACUACGGUGCAGAAGUAGUUGAUGCCAAGCUUCCAGGAAAAGCCUCUAAGCAUCAGGUAACAUCAAAUCGUACCCCAAACCGACACAGGUGGUCAGGUAGAGAAUACCAAGGCGCUUGAGAGAACUCGGGUGAAGGAACUAGGCAAAAUGGUGCCGUAACUUCGGGAGAAGGCACGCUGGCGCGUAGGUGAAGAGACUUGCUCUCGGAGCUGAAGCCAGUCGCAGAUACCAGCUGGCUGCAACUGUUUAAUAAAAACACAGCACUGUGCAAACACGAAAGUGGACGUAUACGGUGUGACGCCUGCCCGGUGCUGGAAGGUUAAUUGAUGGGGUCAGCCGCAAGGCGAAGCUCUUGAUCGAAGCCCCAGUAAACGGCGGCCGUAACUAUAACGGUCCUAAGGUAGCGAAAUUCCUUGUCGGGUAAGUUCCGACCUGCACGAAUGGCGUAAUGAUGGCCAGGCUGUCUCCACCCGAGACUCAGUGAAAUUGAACUCGCUGUGAAGAUGCAGUGUACCCGCGGCAAGACGGAAAGACCCCGUGAACCUUUACUAUAGCUUGACACUGAACAUUGAGCCUUGAUGUGUAGGAUAGGUGGGAGGCUUUGAAGCGUGGACGCCAGUCUGCGUGGAGCCAACCUUGAAAUACCACCCUUUAAUGUUUGAUGUUCUAACUCGGCCCCGUAAUCCGGGGUGAGGACAGUGUCUGGUGGGUAGUUUGACUGGGGCGGUCUCCUCCCAAAGAGUAACGGAGGAGCACGAAGGUUAGCUAAUCACGGUCGGACAUCGUGAGGUUAGUGCAAAGGCAUAAGCUAGCUUGACUGCGAGAGUGACGGCUCGAGCAGGUACGAAAGUAGGUCUUAGUGAUCCGGUGGUUCUGAAUGGAAGGGCCAUCGCUCAACGGAUAAAAGGUACUCCGGGGAUAACAGGCUGAUACCGCCCAAGAGUUCAUAUCGACGGCGGUGUUUGGCACCUCGAUGUCGGCUCAUCACAUCCUGGGGCUGAAGUAGGUCCCAAGGGUAUGGCUGUUCGCCAUUUAAAGUGGUACGCGAGCUGGGUUUAGAACGUCGUGAGACAGUUCGGUCCCUAUCUGCCGUGGGCGUUGGAAGAUUGAGAGGGGUUGCUCCUAGUACGAGAGGACCGGAGUGAACGCACCACUGGUGUUCGGGUUGUCAUGCCAAUGGCAUUGCCCGGUAGCUAAGUGCGGAAAAGAUAAGCGCUGAAAGCAUCUAAGCGCGAAACUUGCCUCGAGAUGAGUCUUCCCUGGGAACUUGA